Long non-coding RNA from Nematolebias whitei (Rio pearlfish), 253 nucleotides. RefSeq lists it as uncharacterized. NCBI's taxonomy places the organism in Eukaryota, Metazoa, Chordata, Actinopteri, Cyprinodontiformes, Rivulidae. The record is from RefSeq and is a predicted model, not a curated record. The transcript has 3 exons.
CAGGAAAAUGGCCGCUGGUCCAGGGCUGACGGAAGCGUCCUUUGGAAUACUAAUUACUGUAAUAUCAAGUUUAAUCAAUGGGUCGACAUUUGUGCUUCAGAAAAAAGGAAUAAUGCGUUCACGAAACAGAGGAGGAUCCUAUCUCACUGAUGCAGUGUGGUGGAGUGGCACGCUGUGCAUGAUCACUGGUCAGACUGGGAACUUCCUGGCUUACAAUGUGGCCCCUGCUGUGUUAGUCACACCAUUAGGCGCC